RNAcentral lists this ribosomal RNA (465 nucleotides) under uncultured bacterium. Its description in RNAcentral is "partial 16S ribosomal RNA". It matches the Rfam family "Bacterial small subunit ribosomal RNA", at positions 28 to 507 of the family's 1533-position model. The record is from RNAcentral.
GACGAACGCUGGCGGCGUGCUUAACACAUGCAAGUCGAACGGAAAGGCCCCUUCGGGGGUACUCGAGUGGCGAACGGGUGAGUAACACGUGAGUAACCUGCCCUUGACUUCGGGAUAACUUCAGGAAACUGGGGCUAAUACCGGAUAGGAAUCCUUGCUGCAUGGUGGGGGUUGGAAAGCUUCGGCGGUUUUGGAUGGACUCGCGGCUUAUCAGCUUGUUGGUGGGGUAGUGGCUUACCAAGGCUUUGACGGGUAGCCGGCCUGAGAGGGCGACCGGCCACAUUGGGACUGAGAUACGGCCCAGACUCCUACGGGAGGCAGCAGUGGGGAAUAUUGCACAAUGGGCGGAAGCCUGAUGCAGAAACGCCGCGUGCGGGAUGACGGCCUUCGGGUUGGAAACCGCUUUCAGCAGGGGCGAAGCUUGUGGUGACGGUACCUGCAGAAGAAGCACCGGCUAACUACGUG